UUUAAUAGCAGCGUUUUCAUCAUUCACUCAAUUCAUUCAAAUUUUAAUGGUUUUAAGAGCAACAAUUUCAUCAUUCCCACAAUUCAAUCAAUUUUCACAGGUUUAAAAGUAACAUUUUCAUCAUUCACACAAUUCAAUCAAAUUUCAUGGGUUUAACAACAACAUUUUCAUAAUUCACACAAUUCAUUCAAAUUUCAUGGGUUUAACAUUAACAUUUUCA
RNAcentral lists this long non-coding RNA (220 nucleotides) under Lathyrus oleraceus (garden pea). Its description in RNAcentral is "Pisum sativum (pea) long non-coding RNA (PSAT_LNC040544)". The record is from RNAcentral. Lineage: Eukaryota; Viridiplantae; Streptophyta; Magnoliopsida; Fabales; Fabaceae.